This 513-nucleotide ribosomal RNA is filed under the name uncultured bacterium. RNAcentral's name for it is "partial 16S ribosomal RNA". It matches the Rfam family "Bacterial small subunit ribosomal RNA", at positions 29 to 523 of the family's 1533-position model. The record is from RNAcentral.
AAUGAACGCUGGCGGCGUGCCUAAUACAUGCAAGUCGAACGCACAGCGAAAGGUGCUUGCACCUUUCAAGUGAGUGGCGAACGGGUGAGUAACACGUGGACAACCUGCCUCAAGGCUGGGGAUAACAUUUGGAAACAGAUGCUAAUACCGAAUAAAACUCAGUGUCGCAUGACACAAAGUUAAGAGGCGCUUUGGCGUCACCUAGAGAUGGAUCCGCGGUGCAUUAGUUAGUUGGUGGGGUAAAGGCCUACCAAGACAAUGAUGCAUAGCCGAGUUGGGAGACUGAUCGGCCACAUUGGGACUGAGACACGGCCCAAACUCCGACGGGAGGCUGCAGUAGGGAAUCUUCCACAAUGGGCGAAAUCCUGAUGUAGCAACGCCGCGUGUGUGAUGAAGGCUUUCGGGUCGUAAAGCACUGUUGUAUGGGAAGAACAGCUAGAAUAGGGAAUGAUUUUAGUUUGACGGUACCAUACCAGAAAGGGACGGCUAAAUACGUGCCAGCAGCCGCCGCAG